UGGGUUUGAGUUUCCUCUGACUCGUCGGCCUUUAUUGUCUUCCUCCUCUCCUCCUCUGCUGUUGUGGAACGCGCCUUGGUGUAGCUGCAGACUCCCGGUUCGCUCUGAAUUGCUGCUGUUUUGUCCCCCCCUCGAUACGUGCUUCGGACUGACGCGUCGCAGUGUCCGGUCAUCCGAGGGCUAUCACUCCGAAAGCAUUCAGCAGCCCAGCAUAAGUUAACUUGCGCAGGUGGCGCAUGUGGCCGAGUUCAGUGUGUGCGUGAAUGUAGUCUGUGUGCAGGUAAUCCCAGAGGGAGGUCCUCUUCCCCCCUGGUGGUGGGUCCGGUCACGUGGUGUGCAGUGAAUUGCAGUGCAGUGCAGUGUUACCUGUGUGUGAGUGCAAUAAUUCACCUUCACUUAGUGUGUGCAUGGGCACG
This is a long non-coding RNA of Engraulis encrasicolus (European anchovy), 416 nucleotides long. RefSeq lists it as uncharacterized. The transcript is spliced from 3 exons. The record is from RefSeq and is a predicted model, not a curated record. Lineage: Eukaryota; Metazoa; Chordata; Actinopteri; Clupeiformes; Engraulidae.